This 254-nucleotide ribosomal RNA is filed under the name uncultured bacterium. RNAcentral describes it as "partial 16S ribosomal RNA". It matches the Rfam family "Bacterial small subunit ribosomal RNA", at positions 524 to 776 of the family's 1533-position model. The record is from RNAcentral.
UACGGGGGGAGCAAGCGUUGUUCGGAUUUACUGGGCGUAAAGGGCGCGUAGGCGGCCACGACAAGUCACUUGUGAAAUCUCCGGGCUUAACUCGGAAAGGUCAAGUGAUACUGUCGGGCUAGAGUACAGAAGGGGCAACUGGAAUUCUCGGUGUAGCGGUGAAAUGCGUAGAUAUCGAGAGGAACACCUGCGGCGAAGGCGGGUUGCUGGGCGGAUACUGACGCUGAUGCGCGAAAGCUAGGGGAGCGAAUGGG